RNAcentral lists this transfer RNA (73 nucleotides) under Rhizobium sp. BK196. RNAcentral describes it as "tRNA-Thr". It matches the Rfam family "tRNA". From Rfam's summary of the family: Transfer RNA (tRNA) molecules are approximately 80 nucleotides in length. Their secondary structure includes four short double-helical elements and three loops (D, anti-codon, and T loops). Lineage: Bacteria; Pseudomonadati; Pseudomonadota; Alphaproteobacteria; Hyphomicrobiales; Rhizobiaceae. The record is from RNAcentral.
GCACUCGUAGCUCAGUGGAUGGAGCAGGAGUUUCGUAGCUUCCCGAUCACAGGUUCAAGUCCUGUCGAGUACU